Molecule: ribosomal RNA, 422 nt
Filed under: uncultured bacterium
Lineage: Bacteria
Description: bacterial SSU rRNA
Rfam family: Bacterial small subunit ribosomal RNA
Source: RNAcentral
UGAGGAAUAUUGGGCAAUGCCCGCAAGGGUGACCCAGCAACGCCGCGUGGAGGAUGAAUGUCGUAAGAUUGUAAACUCCUGUUAGAGGGGAAGGAUAGUACCGGUUGGACCGGUAUAUGACUGUACCCUCAGAGAAAGCCCCGGCUAACUACGUGCCAGCAGCCGCGGUAAUACGUAGGGGGCAAGCGUUGUCCGGAUUUACUGGGUGUAAAGGGCGCGCAGGCGGGAUAAAAAGUCAGUGGUGAAAUCCUACAGCUUAACUGUAGAACUGCCUUUGAUACUUUUAUUCUUGAGUUCGGGAGAGAGAGACGGAAUUCCAGGUGUAGUGGUGAAAUACGUAGAUAUCUGGAAGAACACCAGUUGCGAAGGCGGUCUCUUGGUCCGACACUGACGCUGAGGCGCGAAAGCGUGGGGAGCAAACA